RNAcentral lists this ribosomal RNA (498 nucleotides) under Yarrowia lipolytica. RNAcentral's name for it is "eukaryotic LSU rRNA". It matches the Rfam family "Eukaryotic large subunit ribosomal RNA", at positions 88 to 668 of the family's 3401-position model. Lineage: Eukaryota; Fungi; Ascomycota; Dipodascomycetes; Dipodascales. The record is from RNAcentral.
GGCGAGUGAAGCGGCAAAAGCUCAAAUUUGAAACCCUCGGGAUUGUAAUUUGAAGAUUUGGCAUUGGAGAAAGCUAACCCAAGUUGCUUGGAAUAGUACGUCAUAGAGGGUGACAACCCCGUCUGGCUAACCGUUCUCCAUGUAUUGCCUUAUCAAAGAGUCGAGUUGUUUGGGAAUGCAGCUCAAAGUGGGUGGUAAACUCCAUCUAAAGCUAAAUACUGGUGAGAGACCGAUAGCGAACAAGUACUGUGAAGGAAAGGUGAAAAGAACUUUGAAAAGAGAGUGAAAUAGUAUGUGAAAUUGUUGAUAGGGAAGGAAAUGAGUGGAGAGUGGCCGAGGUUUCAGCCGCCCCUCGUGGGCGGUGUACUGCCGACGCCGAGUCAUCGAUAGCGAGACGAGGGUUACAAAUGGGAGCGCCUUCGGGCGUUCUCCCCUAACCCUCCACACUGCCACCGACGACAUAAUCCACCCAUUUCACCCGUCUUGAAACACGGACCA